UGAUAUGAAAAAGUGUUUGUUAUCAGG
RNAcentral lists this small RNA (27 nucleotides) under Bombyx mori (domestic silkworm). RNAcentral's name for it is "ovarian small RNA-8293". The record is from RNAcentral. Lineage: Eukaryota; Metazoa; Arthropoda; Insecta; Lepidoptera; Bombycidae.